Molecule: transfer RNA, 73 nt
Filed under: Canis lupus familiaris (dog)
Lineage: Eukaryota; Metazoa; Chordata; Mammalia; Carnivora; Canidae
Also listed under: 2 other names
Rfam family: tRNA
About the family: Transfer RNA (tRNA) molecules are approximately 80 nucleotides in length. Their secondary structure includes four short double-helical elements and three loops (D, anti-codon, and T loops). Further hydrogen bonds mediate the characteristic L-shaped molecular structure. tRNAs have two regions of fundamental functional importance: the anti-codon, which is responsible for specific mRNA codon recognition, and the 3' end, to which the tRNAs corresponding amino acid is attached (by aminoacyl-tRNA synthetases). tRNAs cope with the degeneracy of the genetic code in two manners: having more than one tRNA (with a specific anti-codon) for a particular amino acid; and 'wobble' base-pairing, i.e. permitting non-standard base-pairing at the 3rd anti-codon position.
Source: Rfam by way of RNAcentral
GCCUGGCUGGCUCAGUCAGUAGAGCAUGUGACUCUUGAUCUUGGGGUUGUAAGUUCAAGCCCCAUGUUGGGUA